RNAcentral lists this ribosomal RNA (200 nucleotides) under uncultured bacterium. RNAcentral describes it as "partial 16S ribosomal RNA". It matches the Rfam family "Bacterial small subunit ribosomal RNA", at positions 8 to 200 of the family's 1533-position model. The record is from RNAcentral.
AGAGUUUGAUCAUGGCUCAGGAUGAACGCUAGCGGCAGGCUUAAUACAUGCAAGUCGAGGGGCAGCACAGUGUAGCAAUACAUGGGUGGCGACCGGCAAACGGGUGCGGAACACGUACGCAACCUUCCUUCAAGCGGGGCAUAGCUUUCGGAAACGAAAAUUAAUACCCCAUAGUAAUGUCUGAGGGCAUCUGAGGACAU